UGAUCUAGCUGCCGAUCACGUGGUACAGGUCAAGCUUUGGGACAAAAUGGCGGCUGUCAACCGUGCCCUUGAGUGAGCCUCGCCAAGUUCAAAGUGCAAUAUCAUCAAUAUGGGGGUAAAACGAUGCGCUUAUGGCACUUGUAAUAGUGACUCACGUUUCUACCAUAAACCACAUAUGGCAGAUGUGUUUUUUAUUACAUUUCCCAAGCCCACAUCAAAGCCCGAGAUGUGUGACCGCUGGAUCAGAGCGUGUUCCCGCGGUGAUGAUUUUGGCCGUCACAAGAUCACCCAAGAUACAUAUGUAUGUUCCAAACACUUUGUUGAUGGACAUGGUCCUACAGGCGAACAUCCUGACCCUAUACCAGCUACCGCUAGAGGUGUGGAACUUAGAAUAUUCAACACGAAGAAGUCAAGACCACCACCUAAAGGCCGUGUGAGCUUGUCGCCAGAGAAGAAAAAAAAAGUCGUUCACAACUCCAGGUACUCAAUGUGAACAUUGAUAAGGAAAAUGAAAUAACUGAGGGUUCUGAAGAGCAAGAUAAAAAUGUUGAUAAUGAAGAUGCAAGAAAACAGGUUUCCUGUUCUGAUGCAGCUACUCAGACUGACAUCUUGCAUGAUGAUCUGGCUGGCUACAGUGAUGAUCAGCUCAAACAACCUAAAC
Molecule: long non-coding RNA, 661 nt
Organism: Haliotis rubra (blacklip abalone)
Lineage: Eukaryota; Metazoa; Mollusca; Gastropoda; Lepetellida; Haliotidae
Exons: 3
Source: RefSeq, a predicted model, not a curated record